Molecule: ribosomal RNA, 447 nt
Filed under: uncultured bacterium
Lineage: Bacteria
Description: partial 16S ribosomal RNA
Rfam family: Bacterial small subunit ribosomal RNA
Source: RNAcentral
AACGAACGCUGGCGGCAGGCCUAAUACAUACAAGUCGAGGGGCCCGUAAGGGCACCGGCGCACGGGUGCGUAACGCGUGGGAAUAUACCCUUCACUACGGAACAACGUCGGGAAACUGACGCUAAUACCGUAUGAUGACUCCGGUCCAAAGAUUUAUCGGUGAAGGAUUAGCCCCCGUCUGAUUAGCUAGUUGGUGAGGUAACGGCUCACCAAGGCGACGAUCAGUAGCUGGUCUGAGAGGAUGAUCAGCCACACUGGGACUGAGACACGGCCCAGACUCCUACGGGAGGCAGCAGUAAGGAAUAUUGGACAAUGGCGGAAACUCUGAUCCAGCCAUGCCGCGUGAGUGAAGAAGGCCUUCGGGUUGUAAAGCUCUUUUAAUCGUGAAGGUAAUGACGGUAGCGAUAGAAAAAGCUCCGGCUAAAUUCGUGCCAGCCGCCGCAGUAA